Molecule: transfer RNA, 75 nt
Filed under: Paramuricea clavata
Lineage: Eukaryota; Metazoa; Cnidaria; Anthozoa; Malacalcyonacea; Plexauridae
Description: tRNA-Val
Source: RNAcentral
GUUUCCGUAGUGUAGUUGUCAUCACGAUAGUGCCUAACACGCGCAAGAUUCCCAGUUCGAUCCUGAGCGGCAACG